This 271-nucleotide ribosomal RNA is filed under the name uncultured prokaryote. RNAcentral's name for it is "partial 16S ribosomal RNA". It matches the Rfam family "Bacterial small subunit ribosomal RNA", at positions 524 to 794 of the family's 1533-position model. The record is from RNAcentral.
UACGGAGGAUCCGAGCGUUAUCCGGAUUUAUUGGGUUUAAAGGGUGCGCAGGCGGGAGAUUAAGUCGGCGGUGAAAUUUUGCAGCUCAACUGUAAAAGUGCCUUCGAAACUGGUUUCCUUGAGUGUAGAUGAAGUAGGCGGAAUUUGUGGUGUAGCGGUGAAAUGCAUAGAUAUCACGAGGAACUCCGAUUGCGCAGGCAGCUUACUAAACUACUACUGACGCUCAGGCACGAAGGCGUGGGGAUCAAACAGGAUUAGAUACCCGCGUAGU